Molecule: ribosomal RNA, 445 nt
Filed under: uncultured bacterium
Lineage: Bacteria
Description: partial 16S ribosomal RNA
Rfam family: Bacterial small subunit ribosomal RNA
Source: RNAcentral
GUGAGGAAUAUUGGUCAAUGGGCGGGAGCCUGAACCAGCCAAGUCGCGUGAAGGAAGAAGGAUCUAUGGUUCGUAAACUUCUUUUGCAGGGGAAUAAAGUGCAGGACGUGUUCUGUUUUGUAUGUACCCUGAGAAUAAGGAUCGGCUAACUCCGUGCCAGCAGCCGCGGUAAUACGGAGGAUCCGAGCGUUAUCCGGAUUUAUUGGGUUUAAAGGGUGCGUAGGUGGUGUGAUAAGUCAGCGGUGAAAGUUUGCAGCUUAACUGUAAAAAUGCCGUUGAAACUGUCGGACUUGAGUGUAAAUGAGGUAGGCGGAAUGCGUGGUGUAGCGGUGAAAUGCAUAGAUAUCACGCAGAACUCCGAUUGCGAAGGCAGCUUACUAAGCUACAACUGACACUGAAGCACGAAAGCGUGGGGAGCAAACAGGAUUAGAUACCCGGGUAGUCC